UCUAAAAUAAAAUAAAAAUAUUUUCUAUUUUUUACUUUCCUUAUCUCCUUUCUCUCUCUUACUAAUUUUUGAAUUUUUUUUGGGUAUUAUUUAAUCAGGAAUCAAAAAGGAAAUUUGGGACGAUCAAAAAGAGAACUGCUGGAAAAGGAAUGCUGUAGAGGUUUGCUUUAAAAUAAAAAAUUACUGGGAAAAUUCCCUUUGGUAACAUCUGAACCUUUGUUAUUUAAAUUGAUGCCAAAUUAGCUUGAAAUUUUAUAGUGAUUGUUUGCUUUUAAUUUCAAUAAAAGUGUGAAUGCAUGCUUGAUACACAUGCACCAAUUAACCCGCACAUAGUAAGGGCAAUCACCCCAACAAGAUAAGAACUGAAUUUCAUCACUAGAUUCUUGCCCAAACUAGGUGAACCAAUUCGCACAUAGCUAUCACUUUAAUUAAAAUCAAUUAGACGUUGGCCCCUAGGGACAUUCGAGCUCAAUAGGAUGAAGAUCACCGAAAGUUGCACCAAUUUCGCUCUGUGGCUCAGUUGAUGUCUAGGCAAGCUUUGUCCC
This 545-nucleotide long non-coding RNA is filed under the name Phoenix dactylifera (date palm). Its description in RNAcentral is "long non-coding RNA (PDAC_LNC018495)". The record is from RNAcentral. Lineage: Eukaryota; Viridiplantae; Streptophyta; Magnoliopsida; Arecales; Arecaceae.